Molecule: long non-coding RNA, 1229 nt
Filed under: Chloebia gouldiae (Gouldian finch)
Lineage: Eukaryota; Metazoa; Chordata; Aves; Passeriformes; Passeridae
Description: Erythrura gouldiae (Gouldian finch) lncRNA (ENSEGOG00005018512.1)
Source: RNAcentral
GGGGAGGGGACAGCGGCGGUGUCGCGGGGAGGGGACCGCGGCGGUGUCGCGGGCUGUCCCCGGUCCCACCUCGGUCCAGCUUGCUGUGACGCUCCAGGAAGGCGAACCAGUGGUGGCCGGUGGCGAUGGCGUCCCCCUCCCCGCUGGGGAUGUCCUCGCGACACGCGGACUUGAGCUGCUCCAGGUCCUCGGCCGUGAUGUUCUGGGCCAGCUCCUCCAGCAGACUGCGGUACUCGGCCAUGGCUGGGGACACGGGGGACAGGGGGGACAUCAGGGGACAGCAGGGGACAGCAGGGGACAGCAGGGGACAUCAGGGGACAGUGGGGACAUGGGGGACAUGAGGGACGUGGCCAUGGCUGGGGCUGGGGGGGACAUGGGACUUGGAGGAGGACCUGGCUGUGCUGGGGACAAGGGUGACACAAAGGCCAUGAGGGACAUGGGGGGACACAGGACUGGGACGUGGCUGGGGACGGGUGACAUGAGGGACAUGGCCACAGCUGGGGACAUCAGGGACAUCAGGGACAUGGGUGACAUGGGUGACAUGAGGGACAGGGGACACAGCCAUGGCUGGGGGACACAGGGUGUGAGGGACAGGGGACACUGCCACGCGUGUCACGGGUGUCCCCAGCCUCAGCCACUGGUGCCAGCUCCAGCCCUGGCCUGUGCCACUGUGUCACAAAUGUCCCCAGACUCAGCCACGAGUGUCACGAGUGUCCCCAAGCUCAGCCACGGGUGUCACGAGUGUCCCCAAGCUCAUCUGCUCAAGUCACGACUGUCCCCAGCCUCAGUCCUUGGUGUCACCGCUGUCCCCAGACUCAUCCGCUGGUGUCACGACUGUCCCCAGCCCCGCUCCCGGUACCAGCCCAGCCCCGGUCCCGCUGUCCCCGUGUCCCCGGUCCCCUCUCCCCGCUGUCCCCGGUCUCCUCUCCCCGUGUCCCCGGGCUCUGUCCCUGCUGUCCCCGGGCUCUGUCCCCGGGCUCUGUCCCCGCGCCCCCGUCUCCCCCCGCCCCGCCCCGGGGCCCUCUCCCCGUGUCCCCAGGCUCUCUCCCCGUGUCCCCAGGCUCUGUCCCCGCUGUCCCCGGUCCCCUCUCCCCGUGUCCCCGGGCUCUGUCCCCGUGUCCCCGGUCCCCUCUCCCCGUGUCCCCGGGCUCUCUCCCCGUGUCCCCGGGGGCCCCGCCCCGGCCCCCCCUGCCCCCCCCCCCCCCGUGACACGGGGCUGUUGGCACGUG